GGGACAAAUUUACCAUGUGUUAUCUCUUCUAAUAAUGCUCAUACUCAUAGUGUCUCUACGGGAACCUCAGCUCCAUCUCAUACGGCUCUUCGACAACUUAAUCUGGUUGACUACUGUGCUCUUGCAGGUCUAAAAUCCAUAGCUCAUAUCGCACAUCGUCAUAAGCUUCCAUGUGCCUUGCUAGCUUCUAUUGACGAUGAUGAAACACUAAGUUGAUUCUCAAUUACAAAUCCAACUACGCAUUGGCAUACUGCCAUAUUUGAAGAGAUC
This 270-nucleotide long non-coding RNA is filed under the name Elaeis guineensis (African oil palm). RNAcentral describes it as "long non-coding RNA (EGUI_LNC049325)". The record is from RNAcentral. Lineage: Eukaryota; Viridiplantae; Streptophyta; Magnoliopsida; Arecales; Arecaceae.